UUACUCCCUAUUUUUUACCCAUCAUAACUUUGUAUCUAUCUGUCUACCCCUCUUUGCAUGUGUAGUGGUCAGUGUGGGCCGGUGGGAGCGUCUGCAGGGGGAGAAGGCUGAACUGGAGCGCAGUUUUGAGCAGGAGCUGAGGAAGCUGAAGGAGGAGCAGCAGAAGGAGCAGCAGGCUCUGCAGGAGCGACUGAGAGAGGAGCAGAGGAAGGAGACAGAGCUUCUGCAGAAACAGCAGAGCAGCCAGCUACAGCAGCUCCGCUCCCAGCACCAUCAUCAGGUGGAAGAGAUGAGUGAGAGCCAUGAGGCGGCCAUGCUGGAGAUGGAGGCAGCCCACAAUGCCACUCUGGCCACUCUUCAGGAGGAGCAUGCCAGGACAAUCAAGAGUGAGUUAAAUCAAAUAUGCCGAUUCUGUUGUUGCUGUUAAUAAAUAAAAGCUCGCUAUUUUU
This is a long non-coding RNA of Pygocentrus nattereri (red-bellied piranha), 449 nucleotides long. Lineage: Eukaryota; Metazoa; Chordata; Actinopteri; Characiformes; Serrasalmidae. The record is from Ensembl.